RNAcentral lists this long non-coding RNA (1119 nucleotides) under Phoenix dactylifera (date palm). Its description in RNAcentral is "long non-coding RNA (PDAC_LNC000698)". The record is from RNAcentral. Lineage: Eukaryota; Viridiplantae; Streptophyta; Magnoliopsida; Arecales; Arecaceae.
UACAGAACCAUGUUGGCAAGGUGUUUCUCUCGUUUUGUUUAUUGGCUGGACUUUAAGAUGGUCUAAUUUAUACGACCAUAUAAACAAGGGGCUCCUCUUGGUUUUAUUUAUUGGAUGGAAACACAAGAGGGUACGAGGUUUGUAGUUUACCUAAGACUUUCAGGUAUCCUGACCUUGGCAGAACUUAUUGUACCAUAUUAAUAAACAAUCAGGUCCCUAGACCUUAUAUGUUCCAAUCCAUUGCAUCUCUCCAUAACUUCCAUGCUCUGUUUGUUUUCAGAUCUAGGCUUGCACACAACCUUCACUCUUUCUCCUUAUUUUUUGGAUCCUCAUUUCCCAAUCCAUCAGCUGCCCAGCCUCAGAAUCUCCCUCCGUUCACUGGCUUUUUCCUCUAACGCGUGCCAAUUGCUAGUCGUUGGCACCACAAAUACAUGCAGAGAGAGAGAGAGAGAGAGAUGAUAAGCUCAUGGAGUAUGACUUCAGUGGAGGCAUAAGGGAAGAGAGGACUGAUCUGGUUGGGAGUAACCUCAUCUCCUUCGUGAAGAAGGGUGAGAUAUAACAGAAGCAGCAGUUGCCGUAGGAGGAAGAGGAGGGUCGAUGCCUCUCGGUGCGAAGGCAGCGCUGGCGCUGGUGCUGCUGACGGCAGUUCUUCUACUGUUGCCGCUUGUGCUGCCUCCUUUGCCGCCGCCGCCGCCGCUCCUCCUCUUGAUCCCUGUUGCAAUGGUGCUCCUCCUUGUCUUCCUUGCUCUCCACCCAGCCCACACCAUAUCAGCAUAUUCUGACGUCCCUCCUCAGCCAUGAAUCAAACCCCACCAUCCAAAAGAACUUCCAUGCAAAAUCAUGUACCACAUGCUGUGAAAUAUAUUCAGGAGCUUGAAGAAAGAGAAGAGAGUAGAGAAGUAAAGAACCAUUGAUGGUAAGCUAAUAUAACAUACAAACAUGGUCGAGAUGUGGUCAUCCGUGUCAUCUAUUCCAUCAUUUCGCCUUCUCCUCUUAUCCCAUUAAAUAUGAAUACCACAAACAGGUUGGCUGCCACCAGGAGAACUUCUGUUCUGCCCAGUGCCAGAGAUUUAUACUACCUUCUUAAAUGUAGGAAAAGAAGAAAAAAUAGGCAAAAAA